AGUUCUCAUAACAAGCGUUUGAUGGACGACUGUGUGCAGGAUGAGACAGAGUUCAACUGCAAGCUUAACAAGAAGGAAAUCUACACAGUGUUGUGUUAGAGCGGAGGGAGGCUUCACACUAAUGCAGAACAAGUAAAUCCCCAUUAUGUAACUGCAGUUGAUGAGUCUUUUAUCUGCUAACGGUGCUGUGAUUGUGCUGGAUUUACUCCAGGAUUUGGACAGUGGACCAGAGAGAAAAUCUCUUUUUUUCUUCCUUUUUUUUUUAUCAUGAACCUGGCUCCCCUGAGUAGAAAAACCGCUGAAGAACACACAAAGCCAAUGAGGACUGAUUGUCUUUAAAGACAUUUCCAGAUGUCCAGAUGUAUUUUAUUACAUUGGAAACGAAAGUAUUAUCAUGAGGAUCAAUUGCUUAAUUUGGUUUUAUAAAUCACAUAUACAGUGACAUAUAUAUUUAUAGUUUCUACAACAAUUGUGUCGUUUCAGCCACGUCGUUUCACAUUCAUGUAUGAUAUGUGCAAUAGGCUUUUUUUUUUCUGUAUAACAUGUGCAAUAAGCUAUUUUUUCUGUGUGACAUGUGUAAUAGGCUUUUCCUUUUCUCUUUUUUUCCUGAAAAGAAGUGCGAUGUCUUGUGCGCAAUGUAUGUGUGCAGUGUUUGCAAUAAUUUGCAGCUUUGCCAUGUGUCUCUGUUUGCAGUCCUGUUUACAGUCCCUUACUUUGUGAUUUGUGUGUGGUGUUCUUUUUUUGUUUGUUUGUUUGAUGGGUGCAUGCCUUGUUUAUUUAUUUAUUUAUUUAUUUUUUGCACUGACGAGAGAGCUGUGCCUCAAUUUUGUUGUGCUAACAUAUUUUUUUAUACUACGGUGCUAUGACAAUAAAGACUAUUCUCUAUUCUCUAUUAUAAU
Molecule: long non-coding RNA, 899 nt
Organism: Centropristis striata (black sea bass)
Lineage: Eukaryota; Metazoa; Chordata; Actinopteri; Perciformes; Serranidae
Exons: 4
Source: RefSeq, a predicted model, not a curated record